CAUUCCUGCAAGCAUCCAUAUACGCUGCAUACAGGAUUCCUAUGUCCUGGGACCCAUUACCCUCUUUAGCAACUUAUGCCCGUCUGGGCACACAGGUCUGUUCUAUUAGACUUGGUCUUGGUCCACGAGUGACCUACCCACUCACCGUCCAACUGGGAACCCUCCCCCUUUCUCUCUGGGGCCAAGGAACUCUGUGCCUGCAGACCGUCUCCUGACGAAGCGAAAGCGAAACUAGUCGAGAUUAGAGACUGUUGGUCUCAUGAUAUCAACUUG
Long non-coding RNA from Rana temporaria (common frog), 273 nucleotides. RefSeq lists it as uncharacterized. The transcript has 3 exons. Lineage: Eukaryota; Metazoa; Chordata; Amphibia; Anura; Ranidae. The record is from RefSeq and is a predicted model, not a curated record.